RNAcentral lists this long non-coding RNA (555 nucleotides) under Carica papaya (papaya). Its description in RNAcentral is "long non-coding RNA (CPAP_LNC011413)". Lineage: Eukaryota; Viridiplantae; Streptophyta; Magnoliopsida; Brassicales; Caricaceae. The record is from RNAcentral.
AAAAAGAAAAACCAGUCGUCGGAGAAAAUAGCGGACCUCCGCCGCACCAGAGCCACUUCCGACCACCAAAAAAUGUAAGAAUUCUCCUACCCACUCAUAAUUUGAUUUUGAGCACAUCCACAGUCAAAUCGAAGCAAAAGGGAUGAUAGUUGAGCUGGAAUCCGCAGGUGAAGCUCGGCGGCGCCGCUGCGGGCAAAACCCGAAACUUCUUCCGAUGAGCCCCUUCCCCAGUCCCGUUUGACAUGAUUUUUUCACUGUUGUGUUCAUCGUUCUGUUUUUUACAGGUUAACCGAAGAAAAAUUCCCAGUUGCGAAGGUGAGUCGGCGAAGCCGCCACACCCGAAAAACUCCACUACCGGUAAGUUUCUAUUUUUUUUAUUUUUUUGGAGCAACCAAAGCCCCCUAACAUAUUUUUUCGUAGAGAUAUGUAUAAAGCCGACUGAAAUUGGCCAAAACUAGUCGAAAAUGGCCAGGCCGAGGCAAACUACCGCCGCAGACGGUGGUGCCGUCGUCGGAGUCCGGCAAUACCGUCGCGCAGGAACCACAACAUUGGCCA